This 5096-nucleotide long non-coding RNA is filed under the name Mytilus galloprovincialis (Mediterranean mussel). Lineage: Eukaryota; Metazoa; Mollusca; Bivalvia; Mytilida; Mytilidae. The record is from RNAcentral.
CUAUUACUUAUAAUAAGAGAGAAUUUAACAUUACAAAAAAAUCUUAACUUUUUUUUCAAGUAGUCACUGAACCAUGAAAAUGAGGUCAAGGACAUUGGACAUGUGACUGACGGAAACUUCGUAACAUGAGGCAUCUAUAUACAAAGUAUGAAGCAUCCAGGUCUUCCAUCUUCUAAAGAAGUUAGCUAAUGCCGCCGCCCUAGCCGCUGUAACCGCUGCAUCACUAUUCCUAUGUCAAGCUUUCUGCGACAAAAACUGAGUGAGAUCAGGAUUUUUGUAAGGGCUAGAAAAUCCUGAACUUUAUAAAUGAAAAAAAAACAAAAGAAAGAAGCAAAGCAAGACAGCUUUAUUAUUACAAUGACUUGAAGCCUUUUAAGCAUUGGUCACAAUACACUAUAAUCAAUAUUUUAGAGUUGCUAUAUGGCAACUGUUUAGCCAAAGAAUAUCAAGCAGUAAUACACCAAUACAUAUAUAUCUACCAGUAUAUAAUAUUUACAACAAUAUUUCAACAAUCAUGAUAUUAUGAUAUUAUUAUUAUUAUUCAUGAUCAUUAAUGAAGUGAAGCUACACUUGAGACACUCUUAAUAAAAGGGGGGUGCAUCUAUAAGUAGUUAAUUGGUGAUAUUAAUUUAUUUUAAAAAUUUCUAUUUUCUUAUAAAUCUGAAUGAAAAUGUAAACUUUUCUGAUGUUAAUGAAAUUAAAAAAAAAAAUACUUGCUUUCCUCAUUACAAAACAAUAAAGGGAUUUUUUUUUUUACUGCCUUAUGUAUAAGUUUAGAAAGUGUCAAAUGAACAAUAUUGAGAUAAUGUAAACCAAAUUGUUUUUGGUGAAUACUUUAUUUUGUGUUUUAGCCUUUACUAUUCAAAUUUGUAAUUUUCAAAUUUCAUUAAUGUAGUUAGACAAAGAAAAGAUCCCAGUUUUUAAUUUUCGCAACUAUUUCAACUGGACUUAUUUUUAUUCUCGCAAUAAACAGCAUGCAGAAAUUAGUUGGUUUACAGUAAUUAAUUCAGAAUGAAUGCUAUUGACAUAAGAUUAUCUCCCUUUUUCUACAAUGAGAAUGAAAAAUAUGAUGAAAAAAUAUUGACAAUUAUUCAUGAAAAAAUUACAAUUUAAAUCUUAAAAAAAAUAUAUAUGAUUAAAAAGAGAUGAUACAGUGACCCAUCAACAUGAAAAAUCCCAAUCACAUCUUCUGAAAUAAGUUUCUAUGGAUACCUUUCAUGUCAAAAACAUUGUUUACCAUGCUUUAUGGAUUACUAGGGUCAUGAAACAUGAUUGAAAUAAGAGCAUCAUGGUAAUAUUCAGAAACUAAUUAACAUUAAAAGUCAAAAUUGAUUUCUACUAAUUUUCAAUUAUAAAUGAUAUUUUAAUGAUAAAUUGAAAUUUCAUACCAUUAAGCUGCAGCAAAUGCCCAAAAUAAUGUACAGAGGCAGAUAUAGGGGUGAGGGGCCCUUUUAUGGGAUGUAAUGUGGUUGAUUACUUAAGGAAUCACUGAAGCAUGACUGGACUAAACCCCGUCUUAGACAAUCAGUGCCCCCACCCCCCUUUUUUCUGGAUCUGCCAAUAAUGUAUAUCAUAUAUUUAUAUAGUAACUCAUUUUUCUACAGCUAAUAUUAUUAAAGAUGUUUGUAUAUUCAAAUUGAUAAUUUACACAUUUCAAAAUAAUAAGAAACCUAUUUGUAAUAAGAAAAUCUAAUCCAUCAAAAAGUUUUGUGUUAAAAAAAAUCUUAAACUAUGAACAGAACUACCCUAUAUUAAAACCCAAAAGACAGUCAAGUAUAAUUUCAUAUACAUGUAUCAAGAACAAGAGGCUGAAAAAGAAAAGAGGAAACAAGGUAAAAUUAGCCAACUUUGUGUAAAAAUGAGGUUCUUUAUUUCAUAAUUCUCAGGAAACCACCUCCCAUUAACUCUUGGAAUCACUCCUGAGAAUUAUUAGGGGAAAAAAAUCAAGUACACUUUAAACUGCCAAAAACUUAAAUAAAAUAUAAUUGAACGCUAUUUUACUAUUUCCUCCUUUCAUCUUACUCACUGAUAAUUACCUUUCUCAGUACAGUAGAAAGAUAUGAAAAAUUAUCGCUAGAAAUUCUGAGGCCCGUUCCGUUGUCAAUGUAAACAUCAACGCUGUCAUAGGCAUAAUAGCGAUUAACAAAUUAUCAUUGGUCAACUCAACUUGAUUUUUUUCCCCUUUUGCCAUACUGGCUCAAGUGAGAUGACCAACUAUAAUCUUUAAAUAAAAUCAAAACAGAUCAUCCAUCUAAGGAAAUGAAGAUUUAGGUGGCCGCUUUUCUAAUUUAUUUUUUGGAAUUAUCUGUUUGUGGUCUAAUUCUACGGAGUAAAAAAUUAAAUAAAAAAGAAAAGUUUUGAAAAUAAAGUGUAAUUGCUCUGCACACAGAAAUGUGAUAAGAAAAAAAUAUACAAUAAUAACAAAGUUAUUUUUUUCUAUCUAUAUUUUCUAUAUUUUUUGUACAUUUGUGACCCCAAUAAUGCAAAAAAUACACACACACAUUAUAUACAUAAGACAAUGAACAAACUUGUAAAAAGUUUUGAUUUCAUAAAUGCACCAAUUUAAGUUCUUAACAAAAACGAAUAACCUAAACAAUGAAAUGUGAGUAAUAAAAGUACUGAAAAGUUAUAUAAUAAUGAUAGCACCAUCUAGAAUGUUGCAUUAUGGAUAAAAAAAAAAUACAUGACAUUUUUCAUUAAAUAAUGCAAUCAUCACAUCAACUAUAGCACUAAAAAAUUAGAUUCUGGAUUUUUUUCUGUAUGAAUAUUUUUUUUUUAUAAAUUCUACCGAAAUAUAUCUGGUUUUUUUUUUUGUAUUUUAAUUACACUCAGGCAGUUUUUCUAAGUGGAUAAAAUUUGAACCUGUCUACUGCACUGAUAAAAACUCUUGUGAAAAAGAAGGUGCAUGUAGCCUAAUUUACUAAAUACAAAUUCAUAAUGGAAUGAAUAAGAAUAAUAAAACCGGGGGAAAAAAAUCACAUGCAAUUUGUCUCAAAGACUAUAACUAUUUACAGGAAAUAUACAUAUAUUAUGAUAUCUAUCAACAGAUAGAAACCAUUUAGAAAUUAAAUGUCACACCUCAAUUUUAACAAUUUUAUUAAAGAAUUCAUUAAUGUUGUCUGCAAUUCAAUUAACCAAUCAAUUCAUUGCAUUUUAUUUCUGUAAUUCAAUUAACCAAUCAAUUCGUUGAAUUUUAAGUCUGUAUUUCAAUUAACCAACUAAUUCAUUGAAUUUUAGGCCUGUAAUUCAAUUGUCCAAUCAAUUCAUGAUAUGUGCCUUUUAGUUCGUUUAAACAUAUUUAUUCAUAGUGGAUUGAGAAACAAGUUAUUGCAACUUUGUAGUGUCUUGCAAACAAUUAAUCAAAAUUUAACUUUAAGGUGGAUUUUUCUUAUAGUAGCAUGUAAGCCUAUUGUUUAAAUGACUUGGAAACACAUUAAACCAUCAUAAUCCUGUGGAACUGUGCAAAAAGGUGACUCAUGACGAAAAUGAUGUUCCAAUACUUAAAACUGCAAUAAUUUGAUCCUAAUGGUAUCUAAACUAAUUAUCACCAUAAAUAUAUCAUUCAGGAAAAAGGUGUUAGCAUAGAAAUUAACAUGAUUCUUUAAAAGGUUGAGAAGUCAAGGUCAAAUACGAAUAUUAAAGAGUUUAAUUUUGUGGUACCUAAUUGUUAAUUCAGCUGAUAUUUUAUAAGUGAGAAUGAACAUAAUUUUUAUUCAGAUAAAAGUUUACACAUAUUUAAUGAAACCCAAUGUGUUGCUGUCUGAUCUAUUAAAGAUGUUAAUUUAUUCAGAAAAUGGAAAAUAUAAACUUAAGUACCCAAGCUGUUUCUUGUGCACUUACGAUGAACUUCAAUUUUGUCUUACAGAUGACCUUUUCAUUAAAAUUACUGGAUUUUAUCUGAAUAUUAAACUGAUUCAUGUUUUUAAAACAUCAAUAAUCUUUUUUAUAAAUUAUGAUAAAGUCUAACAAAACAUAGAUUUAUAAAUCUGUAAAUUAUACAAUUAAAUAAAUGUUACUGUACAAUUAUAUAGUUUUUUACAGUAGGUAUGACCUUUUCCUUAAAAAAUAUUAUAAAUAUUUUUUUAUAUAUUUAUAAUGGCAAAAGAGUUCAACAUUUAUGUCAAGCAGUCUUCUUGAAUAGCCUGUGCAAAAGGUGAAAAUGACAAAAUAAUGGGUUUAGAAUUCUGUGAAAUGAUUCUACUGGAUUUCUAGGAAAAUUUGAACACUACUUAAAAUGUUGUGAAGUAUUUUAGUUUACAUUCUGAUGUCAAUGAUGUUUCCAAAUGCUAAUCUUUUAAGGUGGAACCUAACACUACAGGGAGAUAACUCUGUAAAGUCAGCUAAACGUUUUAAUUAUGUUGUGUUGUAAAAGGAAUAUUAAGCUUAUCAAUGAUCAAAAUUGGUGUUUGUCAAAUUGCUAUAUAACCAGUAUAAUUUUUCUGGCAAAACGGUUGGUUCAAAAAAUUUUAAAUUUUUAUAUUUUUGUUAAAGUGUCAAAGUUAAUACUUUGACAAAAUUUUAUGAAAAUUAAACGAGCCAAAUUGAUUUUAGUGAAAGUGUUGGGUACCACCUUAAAAAUAACCCUAAAUAUGCUUUGUGUGGUGACUCUAAUUUGCUAUGGUGUGCCUGAUGCUAAGAAAAGCUCUUACUGAAAUAUAAGAUUCAGUUUUCUUACUUUUUAACCCUGCAUUCAGUUCCAAAUUAUUCCAUACAUAAUUUUAAAAAACUUCAUCAAAAAGAAUAGUUAAGAUAAAUAAUCAAUUAUGUUGAUUACAUUUUGAUAUAUUUUAAGUUGAUAUUCAACAAAAAAUCAUGCUGGCACAUUCUAUGAAAUGGACCAGGAACCAGUUUUCAUAUGAUAUGAAAGCUUGUAACAACACUAAGUGAUGUGGCAUAUAUGAUUUUAGACAGUAUAAAAAGACAACUUAUAAUAUUGUCAACCUACUGUGAAUAAAAUAAAACUUACAUCUAAUAUAAACUUUAUAAUCUGUCGAGUCAACAGGCAUUCGCAUAAAUAUAAACAUCGUAAACAAUUUAUACAAUAUAUUUAAGGACAUCCAUUUAUAAAUAAGUACUUUUUCUCAAUUCUAAUUACC